AUUAAACUUAGUGGCGGACGGGUGAGUAACGCGUGGAUAACCUGCCUUAUAGAGGGGGACAACAGUUGGAAACGACUGCUAAUACCGCAUAAGGUCUCGAGACCGCAUGAUCUUGAGAAGAAAGAUGGCCUCUGAAAAUGCUAUCGCUAUAAGAUGGAUCCGCGUCUGAUUAGCUAGUUGGUGAGGUAACGGCUCACCAAGGCAACGAUCAGUAGCCGGCCUGAGAGGGUGAACGGCCACAUUGGGACUGAGACACGGCCCAAACUCC
RNAcentral lists this ribosomal RNA (268 nucleotides) under uncultured Eubacteriales bacterium. Its description in RNAcentral is "uncultured Clostridiales bacterium partial 16S ribosomal RNA". It matches the Rfam family "Bacterial small subunit ribosomal RNA", at positions 85 to 339 of the family's 1533-position model. The record is from RNAcentral. Lineage: Bacteria; Bacillati; Bacillota; Clostridia; Eubacteriales.